UACGGAGGGGGCAAGCGUUGUUCGGAAUUACUGGGCGUAAAGGGCGCGUAGGUGGCCUUCUAAGUCGAACGUGAAAUCCCUGGGCUCAACCCAGGAACUGCGUCCAAGACUGGGAGGCUUGAAUCCGGGAGAGGGAUGCGGAAUUCCAGGUGUAGCGGUGAAAUGCGUAGAUAUCUGGAGGAACACCGGUGGCGAAGGCGGCAUCCUGGACCGGGAUUGACACUGAGGCGCGAAAGCCAGGGGAGCAAACGGG
This 253-nucleotide ribosomal RNA is filed under the name uncultured bacterium. RNAcentral's name for it is "partial 16S ribosomal RNA". It matches the Rfam family "Bacterial small subunit ribosomal RNA", at positions 524 to 776 of the family's 1533-position model. The record is from RNAcentral.